UGGGGAAUAUUGCACAAUGGGCGCAAGCCUGAUGCAGCCAUGCCGCGUGUAUGAAGAAGGCCUUCGGGUUGUAAAGUACUUUCAGCGGGGAGGAAGGGAGUAAAGUUAAUACCUUUGCUCAUUGACGUUACCCGCAGAAGAAGCACCGGCUAACUCCGUGCCAGCAGCCGCGGUAAUACGGAGGGUGCAAGCGUUAAUCGGAAUUACUGGGCGUAAAGAGCACGCAGGCGGUUUGUUAAGUCAGAUGUGAAAUCCCCAGGCUCAACCUGGGAACUGCAUCUGAUACUGGCAAGCUUUAGUCUCGUAGAGGGGGGUAGAAUUCCAGGUGUAGCGGUGAAAUGCGUAGAGAUCUGGAGGAAUACCGGUGGCGAAGGCGGCCCCCUGGACGAUGACUGACGCUCAGGUGCGAAAGCGUGGGGAGCAAACAGG
Molecule: ribosomal RNA, 429 nt
Filed under: Chloroflexota bacterium
Lineage: Bacteria; Bacillati; Chloroflexota
Description: Chloroflexi bacterium partial 16S ribosomal RNA
Rfam family: Bacterial small subunit ribosomal RNA
Source: RNAcentral